RNAcentral lists this ribosomal RNA (480 nucleotides) under Triticum aestivum (bread wheat). Its description in RNAcentral is "partial small subunit ribosomal RNA". Lineage: Eukaryota; Viridiplantae; Streptophyta; Magnoliopsida; Poales; Poaceae. The record is from RNAcentral.
AUGGGUGGUGGGGAAGGCGCUAGCCCCCGUCGCAGAUGGCGUGCUGGAGGCUUGGGCAGCCACCAAGAACUUUGGUCCCAACGUCUAGGCCCUCAGGAUGGAACUGCUGCCGUGCAAGCAACGCUUGAAAAUGCCGGCCGCAAGGAGAUCGGUGGCCCGGCCAUGGAGGAGCUGUUGCAGAGGCUGCGGGACUCGGCGCACAAUGCCCAAGACUUGCUGGACGAGCUGGACUACUUCCGCAUCCACGACGAGCUCCAUGGCACGUACAAUGCUGCCGACCAGCACGACAAGGGUGGCUUCCACGACCUUGCCCUCAAUGCUCGCCACACUGCCAAAGCUGUUGGCAAACUGGUUAGCUGUUGCCCUUGGCAGCAUGCUAAGCGCCGGCAGAGGAUCCACAUAUUCGUGAGAAAGAUUGUGGCAGUGUGCAAGAAAUGGCAAAGUUUGAGUUUAAUAGGGUUGAUUUCUCUCGAAAGAUGA